This 741-nucleotide long non-coding RNA is filed under the name Dromaius novaehollandiae (emu). Its description in RNAcentral is "lncRNA (ENSDNVG00000005535.1)". The record is from RNAcentral. Lineage: Eukaryota; Metazoa; Chordata; Aves; Casuariiformes; Dromaiidae.
UGUACUUUUGAGAAACAGAAUGUGCUGUUGAUGUUAAGGAAGAGCCCAGAGAUGAAGUGGGUCCCAGUUAAUCUGUGAUAGGAACCUAGGCUCAAAUCCAAACUCUGCUUUUAUCAACUGAAGCAGUCCCUUGAUUUUCUUGGAUUUUGAAUGGAGAUCAUAGUGYGUGAGAGCUCUUGCCUUGAAAAGACUGCAUUAAAAAAUUCAAGUGACUCUACUGAAAUGGAGCAUGUGAGCAGCACGCGUGACUCUUCACCUCAUUGUACCUAAAAGCAGUGAUGCUCCAGUGAAAUGAAGGUUAUAUAAAACACAGGGAUAUCACAGGGAUAUGUACUGAUUUUCCUAGAUGGUAGACGUUUCCACUGCUGAGCAAGUCUGUGGGGCAGCCCUGAGCUCCCGAGGAUCCCCCAUGGCAAACCACUCUCCUGAAGUGCAUGCGCAGAGCCAGUGAAACCUGCAGUUAUACCUCCUCAUGUGAGAAAACAACUGUAUCUCAGCAGAGAGCCUGCAGUGGGUGGAUUCAUCAUACAAACAACAAGAGUGAGCAACGGGAACAUCUGUGAGUGCUGAAUUCAAAUGCUGAGGGUCUGGAAAACUUGGUGAGCAAGACUGUAUUUCAUGUGAUGUGAAAAUGUACCAAAGAGUAAUGGAACUCCAUAGGAAGCACAAGAUUGGUAGUAUGAGGGCUACUUACCCCUUAUGGCACCUGAAUUUCCUGGAUAGCUCAACUCAUCAUCAUGA